AAUAGAUGACGCCAUUAACUUUUUCUUACAUGUUUGACCAUUCGUCUUAUUCAAAAAAAUUACGUAAUUAUAAUUUAUUUUGUUAUGAGUUGUUUUAUCACUCAUAUUACUUUAAAUUUGAUUUAUAUCUUAUAUAUUUGCAUAAAAUUUUUGAAUAAGACGAAUAGUCAAACAUGUGAGAAAAAAUCAACGGCGUCAUCUAUU
This 204-nucleotide microRNA precursor is filed under the name Oryza sativa Japonica Group (Japanese rice). RNAcentral describes it as "MIR812 microRNA precursor family". It matches the Rfam family "MIR812 microRNA precursor family". Lineage: Eukaryota; Viridiplantae; Streptophyta; Magnoliopsida; Poales; Poaceae. The record is from Rfam by way of RNAcentral.